RNAcentral lists this unclassified non-coding RNA (461 nucleotides) under rhizosphere metagenome. Its description in RNAcentral is "partial ribosomal RNA internal transcribed spacer region". The record is from RNAcentral.
UUCCGCCGGGCACGCCCGCAGAAGCCUUCCGCGGCGACUUUAAAUAACCGCGCAGUCCACGGGUCAGCCCCUGGGCCACGCCGUCACUGUGCUGGAAAGCCCCCCGGGGUCGACCCGCAGCCGCUCUCCUUAGGGAGUCCCGGUCCACAGAUCAAACGAUGGUGGCCACCGUCAGGUGGUUCAGAUAUGAUCGACACUCUCGAGGUUUCUUUGAGGGACGUCUUUGGUUCCGUAGGUGAACCUGCGGAAGGAUCAUUAGAGGAGAAGAGGGUCCCCCGGGGCCCGAAUUCACCACCCUUUGCGAAUUUACCUUUGUUGCUUUGGCGGGCCGGAGGCCUCCGGACCUCCCGUCGACCCCGGUGGACGUGUGCCCGCCAGAGACCCAUCAAACCCUGUUAAUCAGUGAUGUCCGAGUCAUAAUAUAAUCGUUAAAACUUUCAACAACGGAUCUCUUGGUUCUG